Molecule: RNA transcript, 1353 nt
Organism: Mirounga angustirostris (Northern elephant seal)
Lineage: Eukaryota; Metazoa; Chordata; Mammalia; Carnivora; Phocidae
Gene name: large ribosomal subunit protein uL11-like
Exons: 4
Source: RefSeq, a predicted model, not a curated record
GAGCCCAUGUUUUCAACUCUUUGCUAAGCGGCCAGAUUCUCAGAUGACCCUAACUCCAUGCCUCUCUGUCACCUACUCCCACAGUCCUAUCUUAGUGGUUUUUUUCCCAGAACUGCCACCAAGCAAGAGGUUACUGAGUCCUCUAAGGAAAACCACACAGGAGUACCAGUUGAUGUGAUGGCACAUGGAGAGGCAACCUCUCAAGUGCCCAGAAGUUCUACUGCAUGCCUCUUCCCAGCCCAAACAGUGGCCCUUCUAAAACGUCCUGCCUCAGACCCACCAUCUGUUCACUCACUUCUGAAUACACAACACCAAGAGUGAAUCCUAAUGCAAACCACGGACUUUAAAUGACAACGAUGUGUCAAGGGAAAAAUAUUACUUCUAAUGGACUACUGUCAGCACAAGUUGAAGCCAAGUUAACCUCCUUGUUAUGCCAAGCACAGUGGAAUAGUCUCUUGCUCUAUUUCUUUACUCCUCCCAUUCCUUCCACAAAGAAUGUCUUUUCCCCUUCUCUGUGUCUACUGGGACAAAGAAUUUGACACACACACACACACACGCAAAAAAAAAUCCUUUAUUGUGAACUCAGUCCACUCUACUACUAUUAACCCAAGCACCCCCAUAACUGUUUUUAUACUUUUCACUCCUCCUCUUUUAUAUGAAUAUGGUCUACUGAUUGAUAACCUGAAGUGAAAAGAUCACAAUUUAGCAUAUUUUAAUAUCAAAGUACUGUUCAAAAUAAGAAAUAAAUGCUGCUGAAUAAACUAGAAACUCCUUGAGGUCAGGGACUAUGUUAUUCAUCAUUUCUAAAGACUAGCAAAUUGCCUAGCACAUUUCAGAUAUGUCCCCAGUAAUCAUUAAACAAAAUAGGAGUCUCAAAAAGACUCAGUUAAAGUCACAAUGACAACCUGAACACAGUAAUCUCUUACUUCAAAAGAUGAGAUCAGAAAUCACAAGUCAGAGCUCAGGGGAAAAAAAAAAGGUCUGAACUCUGCCAACAUUAAUUCCGUUUUAAGAAUGGUUGCAGAACAAAACCAGUGAACAUUUUUAAAGGUUUUGUAAAAUAGGUGUCAUGGUGUAUUUUCAGCACUAAUUGUCAAAAUGCUUAAGCAUCUAUGAUGCCUGACAUCUUCACCUACCUAGCAGACUACAUAGCAACUUAUGUAAGCCACAACUCAAAACAGAAAGGUACGAGUGCAGUUUAUAUCAAACACAGGCAGAGAGGCAGUUAGGGUAUGUGCUAUGGUGAGCGCUGUGAAUUGUGUCAGAUUGUUGAAUCACAGAUCUGUACCUCUGAAACAAAUAAUACAUUAUAUGUUAAAAAAAAAAAAAGAAGAAGAUAGCAGGAAGGGAAGA